Long non-coding RNA from Oncorhynchus nerka (sockeye salmon), 1433 nucleotides. RefSeq lists it as uncharacterized. Lineage: Eukaryota; Metazoa; Chordata; Actinopteri; Salmoniformes; Salmonidae. The transcript is spliced from 2 exons. The record is from RefSeq and is a predicted model, not a curated record.
CAUACAUUGAGGUGAUAAGCAUGUACAUUGAAUUAAUGAUGUAAGGCUCAUAACCUGACAGUCCAGACAGACAGUAUGUAUGACCUCGUAAUAUUUAGGUUGUGUAAUAUUUGUGAGGGGAAAUUACUGUCAUACCAAUGAGGGAUGUGGACAGAGAGUGCCCUUUCUCUAAGCUCAAGCCAUGCUCAAAAUCACAGUAGCACUAGCCUUUAGGUCUUAGUUACAAAGUUUUCGCACUGACUCAAUCACAGCUACAGCCACACAUGUUUUGGCUAAUAUUCCAUCCUUAUAUGGAACCUGCAUGUGGUCCAGGCUUUUGUUCCAGCCCAGCACCAGCUCACUGGAUACAACUAAUCAACCGACCAUAAAGCCCUUGAUGUCAGGGGUGUGUACAGGCGGCGAAGUCAUCUGUGAUGUUUUUCUCCACAGGGGCACAGAUACUUUCUUCAGAAAUACGCCAGUCUGAAUGUAGCUCUCCGCUCAAGCGGAGUGAGGGAAUAGAAACCAGGUGUGUGAAAAAAACAAAUCAAAACCAAUGGAAAAUGAAAAGUGGAUCGACAAUGGCGAGCGCCGCACGAACAAGGAGAGGACCCGACUUCGGCGGAAGUCGUGACAUGCGCAAUGUAUCUGCUUAUAAUGCUUCCUCUCCUGCAUACAUUUGUCAGAGAAACGGUAACCACUAUUACUUUGCUACUCAGUAUGACCGUGGCAGGAGGAUCCCUCUGUACUCUGUCUAUGAAAUGGAUAUCAAAGGGGUUCCUGGCAGAGAGGGGUCCAUAGUUUAUUAUGAACCACAGUUUAUGCGUCCUGACCUAACACUACAGCAAAUGGAUAAGAAAGGAUCCUUGAGUGAGAUCAAAAAAUACAACCAAAACAAUGGCUGCAGAGAAAGCUCUCCACAAUACCGACAGAACUAAAGCAUGUGGGUAGACCAGAACGAGCAAGUCAAUGUUCCGAGUUACUACUGGAAUGCCUACUGCUGCACUAACAAGAACCGCAACUCUCUCAUGUCUGGAGGUGCCUUGAGAAAUAACAGCUCAGGGGUGUUAAAGAUGAUCUUAACUCUGACACUGUGCUUCGAGGGCUACUGAGUGUUUGGCAACAAUUUCAUAUUCCAUUAUGAUCUGGUAUGAUUUUGAAUUCAUGCUUAGAUUCAUACAUGGUUUGGCGGGGAAUUCCCAAGGAGAUGUUUGAAAAUUAGCCACGUUAGCUACAUCAGAAUUUUUAAACAUAUCCCUGAACAUAAAUAUUAUCCUAUUGAUCAAAUUUGUGGUUAAAAUGUAUUACAAAUUCAAAACGUAUCCUUUGUGGUAAUUAUUCGUAAAGCGUAUGUUUGUUUGUUUGGUCACACAGAGUUGUGCAAUCACGUCUUUGUGAAUGCUUGUUGCUAUGAAUCUAUAACCCAAUAAAGCUUGUUUUGUGAAAGUAGGAAA